Non-coding RNA from Phrynosoma platyrhinos (Desert horned lizard), 74 nucleotides. NCBI's taxonomy places the organism in Eukaryota, Metazoa, Chordata, Lepidosauria, Squamata, Phrynosomatidae. The record is from the annotation of a GenBank genome assembly.
GAACCAGCAUGGCCUAGUGGUUUGAGCCCUGGAUUGUGACUCUGGAGACCAGGGUUCAAUUCCCUGCUGGACCA